RNAcentral lists this ribosomal RNA (700 nucleotides) under Bacillus licheniformis. RNAcentral's name for it is "bacterial SSU rRNA". It matches the Rfam family "Bacterial small subunit ribosomal RNA", at positions 545 to 1248 of the family's 1533-position model. Lineage: Bacteria; Bacillati; Bacillota; Bacilli; Caryophanales; Bacillaceae. The record is from RNAcentral.
UCGGAUAUUGGGCGUAAGCGCGCGCAGGCGGUUUCUUAAGUCUGAUGUGAAAGCCCCCGGCUCAACCGGGGAGGGUCAUUGGAAACUGGGGAACUUGAGUGCAGAAGAGGAGAGUGGAAUUCCACGUGUAGCGGUGAAAUGCGUAGAGAUGUGGAGGAACACCAGUGGCGAAGGCGACUCUCUGGUCUGUAACUGACGCUGAGGCGCGAAAGCGUGGGGAGCGAACAGGAUUAGAUACCCUGGUAGUCCACGCCGUAAACGAUGAGUGCUAAGUGUUAGAGGGUUUCCGCCCUUUAGUGCUGCAGCAAACGCAUUAAGCACUCCGCCUGGGGAGUACGGUCGCAAGACUGAAACUCAAAGGAAUUGACGGGGGCCCGCACAAGCGGUGGAGCAUGUGGUUUAAUUCGAAGCAACGCGAAGAACCUUACCAGGUCUUGACAUCCUCUGACAACCCUAGAGAUAGGGCUUCCCCUUCGGGGGCAGAGUGACAGGUGGUGCAUGGUUGUCGUCAGCUCGUGUCGUGAGAUGUUGGGUUAAGUCCCGCAACGAGCGCAACCCUUGAUCUUAGUUGCCAGCAUUCAGUUGGGCACUCUAAGGUGACUGCCGGUGACAAACCGGAGGAAGGUGGGGAUGACGUCAAAUCAUCAUGCCCCUUAUGACCUGGGCUACACACGUGCUACAAUGGGCAGAACAAAAGGGC